AGCAGUCGCCGCGGGAACACGUAGGUGGCAAGCGUUGUCCGGAAUUAUUGGGCGUAAAGGGCUCGCAGGCGGUUUCUUAAGUCUGAUGUGAAAGCCCCCGGCUCAACCGGGGAGGGUCAUUGGAAACUGGGAAACUUGAGUGCAGAAGAGGAGAGUGGAAUUCCACGUGUAGCGGUGAAAUGCGUAGAGAUGUGGAGGAACACCAGUGGCGAAGGCGACUCUCUGGUCUGUAACUGACGCUGAGGAGCGAAAGCGUGGGGAGCGAACAGGAUUAGAUACCCCAGUAGUCCCUGUCUCUUAUAC
Molecule: ribosomal RNA, 303 nt
Filed under: uncultured bacterium
Lineage: Bacteria
Description: partial 16S ribosomal RNA
Rfam family: Bacterial small subunit ribosomal RNA
Source: RNAcentral